GCCCGGUUAGCUCAUUAGGUAGAGCAGUGGAUUAGAAAUCCAUAGGUCGCUGGUUCGAUCCCGGGGCUGGGCG
Molecule: non-coding RNA, 73 nt
Organism: Ruditapes philippinarum (Manila clam)
Lineage: Eukaryota; Metazoa; Mollusca; Bivalvia; Venerida; Veneridae
Source: the annotation of a RefSeq genome assembly